GUGCACGCUGGCGGUAGGCCUAACCCAUGCAAGUCGCACGGCAGCACAGUAAGAGCCUGCUCUUACGGGUGGCGAGUGGCGGACGGGUGAGGAAUACAUCGGAAUCUACUUUUUCGUGGGGGAUAACGUAGGGAAACUUACGCUAAUACCGCAUACGACCUACGGGUGAAAGCAGGGGAUCUUCGGACCUUGCGCGAUUGAAUGAGCCGAUGUCGGAUUAGCUAGUUGGCGGGGUAAAGGCCCACCAAGGCGACGAUCCGUAGCUGGUCUGAGAGGAUGAUCAGCCACACUGGAACUGAGACACGGUCCAGACUCCUACGGGAGGCAGCAGUGGGGAAUAUUGGACAAUGGGCGCAAGCCUGAUCCAGCCAUACCGCGUGGGUGAAGAAGGCCUUCGGGUUGUAAAGCCCUUUUGUUGGGAAAGAAAAGCAGCAGGUUAAUACCCCGCUGUUCUGACGGUACCCAAAGAAUAAGCACCGGCUAACUUCGUG
Molecule: ribosomal RNA, 491 nt
Filed under: uncultured bacterium
Lineage: Bacteria
Description: partial 16S ribosomal RNA
Rfam family: Bacterial small subunit ribosomal RNA
Source: RNAcentral